AACGUAGGACACAAGCGUUAUCCGGAGUUACUGGGCGUAAAGGGCGUGUAGGCGGAUCGGUAAGUCUACUCUGAAAGCUCCUGGCUAAACUGGGAGAGGCGAGUGGAGACUGUCGGUCUAGAGUGAGGAAGAGGAAAGUGGAAUUCCGCGUGUAGUGGUGAAAUGCGUAGAGAUGCGGAGGAACACCAGUGGCGAAAGCGGCUUUCUGG
This 209-nucleotide ribosomal RNA is filed under the name uncultured bacterium. Its description in RNAcentral is "partial 16S ribosomal RNA". It matches the Rfam family "Bacterial small subunit ribosomal RNA", at positions 524 to 732 of the family's 1533-position model. The record is from RNAcentral.